ACUAGACCAUUUUCUUUGGAUGCAAUGCAUACAUUGCCCAUUAACAUGAAGUGAUGCGUGGAGCCGAUAUAAUAAAAAUUUUAAAAAUAAAAACAAAUGGGACCAACUUCAAUGGCUCAUAUCUGGCCGCGGUCUAUUUCAAAUUCAGCAUGGACUGUACAGGGCUGGGUCUAGAUAGGCCAUUUAAGGGUCUGUUUUGACAUUGCCAUGA
RNAcentral lists this unclassified non-coding RNA (211 nucleotides) under Hevea brasiliensis (rubber tree). The record is from RNAcentral. Lineage: Eukaryota; Viridiplantae; Streptophyta; Magnoliopsida; Malpighiales; Euphorbiaceae.